RNAcentral lists this ribosomal RNA (228 nucleotides) under uncultured bacterium. RNAcentral's name for it is "partial 16S ribosomal RNA". It matches the Rfam family "Bacterial small subunit ribosomal RNA", at positions 568 to 795 of the family's 1533-position model. The record is from RNAcentral.
UGCGCAGGCGGGCUUGUAAGUCAGUGGUGAAAUACUGCCGCUCAACGGUAGAACUGCCAUUGAUACUGCAAGUCUUGAAUAUGGUUGAGGUAGGCGGAAUGUGUCGUGUAGCGGUGAAAUGCAUAGAUAUGACACAGAACGCCAAUUGCGAAGGCAGCUUACUAAGCCAUUAUUGACGCUGAGGCACGAAAGCGUGGGGAGCGAACAGGAUUAGAUACCCUGGUAGUC